CCUACGGGUGGCAGCAGUAGGGAAUAUUGGACAAUGGGUGGAAGCCUGAUCCAGCCAUGCCGCGUGCAGGAAGAAGGCCUUCUGGGUUGUAAACUGCUUUUGCCAGGGGAUAAAAAGGGCGUGCGCGCCAAAUUGAAGGUACCUGGUGAAUAAGCCACGGCUAACUACGUGCCAGCAGCCGCGGUAAUACGUAGGUGGCAAGCGUUGUCCGGAUUUAUUGGGUUUAAAGGGUGCGUAGGCGGCUUAUUAAGUCAGUGGUGAAAGACGGUAGCUUAACUAUCGAGGUGCCAUUGAUACUGAUGAGCUUGAGUACUGAUGAGGUAGGCGGAAUGGACGGUGUAGCGGUGAAAUGCAUAGAUAUCGUCCAGAACACCGAUAGCGAAGGCAGCUUACUAAGCAGUAACUGACGCUGAGGCACGAAAGUGUGGGGAUCAAACAGG
This 440-nucleotide ribosomal RNA is filed under the name uncultured bacterium. RNAcentral describes it as "bacterial SSU rRNA". It matches the Rfam family "Bacterial small subunit ribosomal RNA", at positions 338 to 776 of the family's 1533-position model. The record is from RNAcentral.